UCAUCGGCUCAGGAUGAACGCUCGGCGGCGUGCUUAACACAUCGCAAGUCGAACGAACCUUCGGGUUAGUGGCGGACGGGUGAGUAACGCGUGAGAAUCUGCCCUCAGGAGGGGGACAACAGCUGGAAACGGCUGCUAAUACCCCAUAUGCCGCGAGGUGAAAUGAAUUUCGCCUGAGGAUGAGCUCGCGUCUGAUUAGCUAGUUGGUGUAGGUAAUGGCUCACCAAGGCAUCGAUCAGUAGCUGGUCUGAGAGGAUGAUCAGCCACACUGGGACUGAGACACGGCCCAGACUCCUACGGGAGGCAGCAGUGGGGAAUUUUCCGCAAUGGGCGAAAGCCUGACGGAGCAACGCCGCGUGAGGGAUGAAGGCCUCUGGGCUGUAAACCUCUUUUAUCAAGGAAGAAGAUCUGACGGUACUUGAUGAAUAAGCCACGGCUAAUUCCGUG
Molecule: ribosomal RNA, 447 nt
Filed under: uncultured bacterium
Lineage: Bacteria
Description: bacterial SSU rRNA
Rfam family: Bacterial small subunit ribosomal RNA
Source: RNAcentral